GGAGUGAAUGUAAGCAGAGAGCAGUGAUACAGACUCGAGCUCGACUGUUCAACCCAAUCCGCACAGGAUGAAGACUGAGACUGAACAUUUGAACAUUGAUGUUAUUUUUGAGGUCGGGACACUUACUGGAGAGCUCGUCAUGUUGGGGUUUUUUGUUUGUUUGUUUAAAGAUAGCCAAUUCACAUUGACCAUCGAGUUGCUAUUCAGGUGUAGUUUUUUUUUUCCGAACUAGAAAUGUUUUUAAUAUCAGCAAGCAUGCCCUCCACGUUGAGGAGGAUUUUGUUGUUGUUUUAAAUGCGUAAAAAGGAAGAAAAAAAAGUUCAUUGCUGCGUAAUUACGCAAUUUGUGUGACCAUAGGACUCAAUUCACGAUCACCAGCUUCUCUUUCAACGGCAGGACUUUAAACAUAGACUGACUCCAAACUUCAGAAGCCCCUUUUCUGAACACUUUUUAAAACACUCAGUGCACAAUUCAGGACCAAUGCUUUUUCCUCCCCCCUGACGCGCAUUCUUUCUGCCUAGUGCUUCAACUUUGUAGUUUCUGUGUCAGAUGACGUUUUUUUUUAUAUCGAUGUAUUUAUACCGGCCAAACUUUUUUAUACAUAGAAGUAUUGUUCUCGUACAGGUCUCGUUUGUGUUUGUGCACAUAACACCUGUCUGUAUCCAGCGCGGAAGGGCUAGAAGUGUAUCUUAUUUAAAACAAAACAACAAAAAAAAUGUCCGACUUCUCUCACUUUUAUGGAGAUUUGAGUGUGUCAUGAUUUUCUACUUGUAUUUUUGUACAAAAUCUAUAGAGAAAAAAAAGGAGGGGGGACGUUUUUUUUUUUCUUCUUCCGGCGAGUGGGUAGCCUACAACAUUGUUGUUUGGAUCUACAUUGGUGUUUUAGUCGUGCAGAGAGAGGGAGGGGUGGGGGGUUUGUUUGGCACAAUCUGACCUCACAGUGUUUACAGUAUUUACCCACAUGCUUCUUAAUGGCACAGUGACUCCAGCUUCACCAGCG
Molecule: long non-coding RNA, 1000 nt
Organism: Oreochromis aureus
Lineage: Eukaryota; Metazoa; Chordata; Actinopteri; Cichliformes; Cichlidae
Source: Ensembl